UACGUAGGGGGCAAGCGUUGUCCGGAUUUAUUGGGCGUAAAGAGCGCGCAGGCGGCUUGGUAAGUCGGAUGUGAAAUCCCGAGGCUCAACCUCGGGUCUGCAUCCGAUACUGCCCGGCUAGAGGUAGGUAGGGGAGAUCGGAAUUCCUGGUGUAGCGGUGAAAUGCGCAGAUAUCAGGAGGAACACCGGUGGCGAAGGCGGAUCUCUGGGCCUUACCUGACGCUCAGGCGCGAAAGCUAGGGGAGCGAACUGG
This 253-nucleotide ribosomal RNA is filed under the name uncultured bacterium. RNAcentral describes it as "partial 16S ribosomal RNA". It matches the Rfam family "Bacterial small subunit ribosomal RNA", at positions 524 to 776 of the family's 1533-position model. The record is from RNAcentral.